Long non-coding RNA from Oreochromis aureus, 2328 nucleotides. Lineage: Eukaryota; Metazoa; Chordata; Actinopteri; Cichliformes; Cichlidae. The record is from Ensembl.
GUGGAAAUUGAGCGAGUAGCAAGAAGUUGUUCGGACAUGAAGAGAAAAUUCAGAACAGACCAGCACUCACUCUGAGUUAAUUGCAUAGCAACCAUAGCAACGCAUGUAUUUUCUGAAAAAUCACAAUUUUGGAACUGAAAACUUAAAGAGGUAUAAAAUUAAAACGGUAGAAGAUCUGAAAAAGCUGAAUCACACAGGAAUAGCCCAAUAAUCUGAGAACAUUUUAAAGUUUGAAUGGAGUUUCUAGGUGAAAGUCUGAGGAAGUAGUUAAGUUUCAAAACCAAGCAAGUUUUAGCAGAAUUGUGGAAGUUUUCCAUUCAUUUCAAUGGGACAAAUUAAAGGAAAAAAGUGUAAUAUUUUAAAAAGUAUAAUAGUAAUAAACACCAAAAGAUAUAGCAGUCGAAAGCAGAAGUAGCAGAACAGUUUAGAGUUUGAACGGUGAAAAUCUGCUGAAAACUGAGGGAGUAGUUAAGCGGCAAAAAAACGGAGCAACUAGAAUAAGUAGAAAAAUUUGCAUUUCCUGUGAAAAUGCUGUGUGGAUGCCUUAACGCUGAAGCUGUCUGCUGAAAAGAUGAAAAAGAUGAAAAGUUGCAAAAAGUUGUAUGGUGGUGAAAAAAACAAUGUUGCCUUGAGCAGGAUUCGAACCUGGUCCUCUUGGUCUCAAGGCAGCUACUCAGCUGACUGACCCAAACUCAUUCUCAAAAAGAAGAGGUGGAGAGACGGACAAUUCUGCUGAAAUGAGCAGAAGCUGCUGAGAAUUGUGCUGAUAAGAGGUGAAAAGGCUGCAAAUUUUGCAGAAAAGAGGUGAAUCAGCAGAAUUUGGGCUGAAAAUAGGUGAAAAUUCUCAAAAUUCUGCUGAAAAGAGUUCAAUCAGCAGAAUUUCUGCUGAAAAGAGUUCUGCAGAACUCUUUUCAGAAUUCUGGUGAAAAGAGGUUUUUGCUGGAAACAGCAGAAAAAGCUGGGAUUUGUGCUGAAAAGUGGUGAAAAAAGUGAAAAUUUUGCUGAAAAGGGGUGAAUAAGCUGAAAUUGAGUUAAAAAAGUUUAACUGUUAACUGAAAGAAAUGUUGCCAUAAGCGGGAUUUGAACCCGGGCCUCCCAGUCUGAGAACGGCUGCUCAUCUCACUGAGCUAAAACACAGCUCAGCCCGGCGAGCAGAAAUAAGUGACCACAUUGAUAAUGUGUUCCAUUCAUUUCAAUGGGCAAAAAUAUUGCAAAAAAAAUUCAAUAUCUCAAAAAGUAUAGACGUUAUGAGCACCAAAAGAUAUAGCACACAUUAGCAGAAAGAGCAGAAUUUUUUAAAGUUUGAACUGAGAAAAUCAGCUGAAAACUGAGGGAGUAGUUAAGCGGCAAAGAAAGUGGCAACUUGAAGAAUAAAGUAUAAAGAACUAGAAAAAUUUGCAUUUCCUGCGAAAAUGCUGUGUGGAUGCCUUAAUGCUGAAGCUGUCUGCUCAAAAACUGAAAAAGAUGAAAAGUUGCAAAAAGUUGUAUGGUGGUGAAAAAAAAAAAUUGCCCUGAGCAGGAUUCGAACCUGGCCCUCUAGGUCUCAAGGCAGCAACUUAUCUCACUGAGCUAAACUCACUCUGACAAAGAGGAGGUGGAGAGACGGACAAUUCUGCUGAAAUGAGCAGAAGCUGCUGAGAAUUGUGCUGAUAAGAGGAGAAAAGGCUGAAAAUUUUGCAGAAAAGAGGUGAAUCAGCAGAAUUUCUGCUGAAAAGAGGUAAAGAAGCAGAAAGUUGCGCUGAAAAGACAUGAAUCAGCAGAAUUUUUUGCUCAAAAGUGUUUUUUCCGAAAACAGCUGAGAUUUGUGCUAAUAAGAGGUGAAAAGGCUGAAAAUUUUGCAGAAGAGGUGAAUAAGCAGAAUUUGGCCUUAAAAGAGGUGAAAAUUCUGCUGAAAAGAGUUCAAUCAGCAGAAUUUCAGAGUUCUGCAGAACUCUUUUCAGAAUUCUGCUGAAAAGAGGUUUUUGCUGAAAACAGCAGAAAAAGCUGGGAUUUGUGCUGAAAAGUGGUGAAAAAACUGAAAAUUUGGCUGAAAAGGGGUGAAAAAGCUGAAAUUGAGUUAAAAAAGUUUAACUGUUAACUGAAAGAAAUGUUGCCAUAAGCGGGAUUCGAACCCGGCCCUCCUGGUCUGUGAACGGCUACUCAUCUCACUGAGCUAAAACAUGGCUCAGCCCGGCAAGCAAAACUGGUGAUCACACUGAUAAUGUGGUCCCUGUCAGCAAAAAGGGCCAAAAAUGGCAUAAAAGUUAAUAUCUCAAAAAGUAUAAAAGUUAUCAUCACCAAAAGAUAUAGCAGUCGAAAGCAGAAAUAGCAGAACAGUUUAGAUUUUGA